Non-coding RNA from Heterocephalus glaber (naked mole-rat), 74 nucleotides. NCBI's taxonomy places the organism in Eukaryota, Metazoa, Chordata, Mammalia, Rodentia, Bathyergidae. The record is from Rfam.
GGGGGUGUAGCUCAGUGGUAUACAGUAUAUGCCUAGCAUGCCCAAGACCCUGGAUUCAACACCCAGCACCACUA